Molecule: transfer RNA, 56 nt
Filed under: Salmo salar (Atlantic salmon)
Lineage: Eukaryota; Metazoa; Chordata; Actinopteri; Salmoniformes; Salmonidae
Rfam family: tRNA
About the family: Transfer RNA (tRNA) molecules are approximately 80 nucleotides in length. Their secondary structure includes four short double-helical elements and three loops (D, anti-codon, and T loops).
Source: Rfam by way of RNAcentral
GCUCAUUUGGUAGAGCAUGGUGUGUGCAACACCAGGGUUGUGGGUUCGACUCCCAC